RNAcentral lists this ribosomal RNA (242 nucleotides) under uncultured bacterium. Its description in RNAcentral is "partial 16S ribosomal RNA". It matches the Rfam family "Bacterial small subunit ribosomal RNA", at positions 524 to 766 of the family's 1533-position model. The record is from RNAcentral.
UACAGAGGGGGCAAGCGUUGUUCGGAAUUACUGGGCGUAAAGGGCGCGUAGGCGCCUUCUAAGUCGAACGUGAAAUCCCCGGGCUCAACCCGGGAACUGCGUCCGAUACUGGAAGGCUUGAAUCCGGGAGAGGGAUGUGGAAUUCCAGGUGUAGCGGUGAAAUGCGUAGAUAUCUGGAGGAACACCGGUGGCGAAGGCGACAUCCUGGACCGGUAUUGACGCUGAGGCGCGAAAGCCAGGGG